RNAcentral lists this ribosomal RNA (253 nucleotides) under uncultured bacterium. RNAcentral's name for it is "partial 16S ribosomal RNA". It matches the Rfam family "Bacterial small subunit ribosomal RNA", at positions 524 to 776 of the family's 1533-position model. The record is from RNAcentral.
UACGAAGGGGGCUAGCGUUGUUCGGAAUCACUGGGCGUAAAGCGCACGUAGGCGGUCUUUUAAGUCGGUGGUGAAAUCCUGGAGCUCAACUCCAGAACUGCCUUCGAUACUGGAAGACUUGAGUCCGGGAGAGGUGAGUGGAACUGCGAGUGUAGAGGUGAAAUUCGUAGAUAUUCGCAAGAACACCAGUGGCGAAGGCGGCUCACUGGCCCGGUACUGACGCUGAGGCACGAAAGCGUGGGGAGCAAACAGG